RNAcentral lists this ribosomal RNA (253 nucleotides) under uncultured bacterium. RNAcentral's name for it is "partial 16S ribosomal RNA". It matches the Rfam family "Bacterial small subunit ribosomal RNA", at positions 524 to 776 of the family's 1533-position model. The record is from RNAcentral.
GACAGAGGGUGCAAACGUUGUUCGGAAUUACUGGGCGUAAAGCGCGUGUAGGCUGCUCCGCAAGUCGGAUGUGAAAGCCCUGGGCUCAACCUAGGAAGUGCAUUCGAUACUGCAGAGCUGGAGUCCUGGAGAGGAAGGCGGAAUUCUCGGUGUAGAGGUGAAAUUCGUAGAUAUCGAGAGGAACACCGGUGGCGAAGGCGGCCUUCUGGACAGUGACUGACGCUGAGACGCGAAAGCGUGGGGAGCAAACAGG